This 343-nucleotide long non-coding RNA is filed under the name Androctonus crassicauda. Lineage: Eukaryota; Metazoa; Arthropoda; Arachnida; Scorpiones; Buthidae. The record is from RNAcentral.
UAGCAUUUAAUAAUUGUUUAUUCCCAAUAAUCAUGGCUAAAUUUUUCCAUCCGACAAAAAGAAAUGUCCUUGUGUCCGGAUGAUCUUCUGGUUAAGAGAUGGCUGAAGGUUUAAUUCCGGGUCCCAUCCUGCCAGUUUUUCAGACAGGGAUCAGAACCCGGCUGAUUGAACUCUGUCCUUCAGUCCCAUUUGGAAUGUUGUGGUCGGUGAUAGGCAUUUUAAUAUUCCGCCGUUUAGUAACCUUUAGUUGGAAAGUGACCUUAAACAAUAAAAAUGGCCAUCCGAAGUACAACUUUCGAAUCAAUCCGAUCGGUUGCUUGAAAAGUCAAUCGAAAUAUUCCCA